GCAGAAUUCGCCUUAGAGUUUGAUCCUGGCUCAGGAUGAACGCUGGCGGUAUGCUUUACACAUGCAAGUCGUACGAGAGUUUUUAACUCAAGUGGCGGACGGGUGAGUAACACGUAAGAAUUUGCCUUUAGGAGGGGGAUAACAACUGGAAACGGUUGCUAAUACCCCCAUAUGCUUUCGAGUAAAAUGGAUUUUCCGCCUAAAGAGAAGCUUGCGGCUGAUUAGCUUGUUGGUGAGGUAAUGGCUCACCAAGGCGACGAUCAGUAUCUGGUUUGAGAGGACGAUCAGACACACUGGAACUGAGACACGGUCCAGACUCCUACGGGAGGCAGCAGUGGGGAAUUUUCCGCAAUGGGCGAAAGCCUGACGGAGCAAUACCGCGUGAGGGAUGACGGCCUAUGGGUUGUAAACCUCUUUUUUCAGGGAGGAAUCAAUGACGUGUACCUGAAGAAUAAGCAUCGGCUAACUCCGUGCCAGCAGCCGCGGUAAGACGGAGGAUGCAAGUGUUAUCCGGAAUCACUGGGCGUAAAGCGUCUGUAGGUGGUCAAAUAAGUCAACUGUUAAAUCUUGAGGCUCAACCUCAAAAUCGCAGUCGAAACUAUUCGACUAGAGUAUAGUAGGGGUAAAGGGAAUUUCCAGUGGAGCGGUGAAAUGCGUAGAGAUUGGAAAGAACACCGAUGGCGAAGGCACUUUACUGGGCUAUUACUAACACUGAGAGACGAAAGCUAGGGUAGCAAAUGGGAUUAGAUACCCCAGUAGUCCUAGCCGUAAACAAUGGAUACUAGAUGUUGAACAGAUCGACCUGUGCAGUAUCAAAGCUAACGCGUUAAGUAUCCCGCCUGGGAAGUAUGCUCGCAAGAGUGAAACUCAAAUGAAUUGACGGGGAAGGGC
Molecule: ribosomal RNA, 891 nt
Filed under: uncultured bacterium
Lineage: Bacteria
Description: bacterial SSU rRNA
Rfam family: Bacterial small subunit ribosomal RNA
Source: RNAcentral